UGGGGAAUAUUGCACAAUGGGCGCAAGCCUGAUGCAGCAACGCCGCGUGAGGGAUGACGGCCUUCGGGUUGUAAACCUCUUUUAGUAGGGAAGAAGCGAAAGUGACGGUACCUGCAGAAAAAGCACCGGCUAACUACGUGCCAGCAGCCGCGGUAAUACGUAGGGUGCGAGCGUUGUCCGGAAUUAUUGGGCGUAAAGAGCUCGUAGGCGGUCUGUCGCGUCUGCUGUGAAAACCCCGAGGCUCAACCUCGGGCCUGCAGUGGGUACGGGCAGACUAGAGUGCGGUAGGGGAGAAUGGAAUUCCUGGUGUAGCGGUGGAAUGCGCAGAUAUCAGGAGGAACACCGAUGGCGAAGGCAGUUCUCUGGGCCGUAACUGACGCUGAGGAGCGAAAGCGUGGGGAGCGAACAGGAUUAGAUACCCUGGUAGUCCACGCCGUAAACGUUGGGCGCUAGAUGUGGGGGCCCAUUCCACGGUUUCCGUGUCGCAGCUAACGCAUU
This 498-nucleotide ribosomal RNA is filed under the name uncultured bacterium. RNAcentral describes it as "partial 16S ribosomal RNA". It matches the Rfam family "Bacterial small subunit ribosomal RNA", at positions 355 to 861 of the family's 1533-position model. The record is from RNAcentral.